Long non-coding RNA from Theobroma umbraticum, 718 nucleotides. RefSeq lists it as uncharacterized. The record is from RefSeq and is a predicted model, not a curated record. Lineage: Eukaryota; Viridiplantae; Streptophyta; Magnoliopsida; Malvales; Malvaceae.
CUUAAUUCCGCCUCCUCCUCCCUCUCGCUCUCCCUCUCUCUCUCUCUCUCUCUCUCUCUCUCUCUCUCUCUCUCUCCUAAGUUCUUCGAACUGGUCUUAGAACCUUUGAUCUCUAUCAAGUUCUUCGAACCGGUCUUAGAACCUUUGAUUCUGCAAUCUCUUCUUCAAUGCAAAACACCAUGGCAAAAACCCAGCACUUGUGAGUCAGGCUGCCCUUUACAGAACCUCCGAUCGGCCAUUACGAAGUGAUAUCGCUACCAUACACCAAAUUCAAAUCACACACCAAGACUUAGCAACACAAUUUCCUCUACACGGCUUCGAUCGAGAUACAGCCUAAACCCAGCCAGACAAACACACCACAGCUAUGCAUCAACUUGACAGAUAGAAGUAUCAGAUCAGCAGAAGCAGAGUACUGCAACUAGGGAUAUGUAAUUGGUUAUCAACUUAUCUCAUAUCCGGAUUUAUAUCCAUAAGUGUCCGACUCUAUUACAUAGGGUUCGGGGUACUCUAUAUUUGGGUUUGAGAUGAGUAUGGACAAGAAUUUUGUUACUCAUCUUGAGUUGGAUAUUACUCUUUAAAUAUCCGAUAACCAAACUCAAUUAUAUAUUUAUGCUUCCAAGGGGAUUGUGGGGAUCAAACUUGGGCAAUGCAAUUGGACAACCAAGAGCAUGGCCAAUUUAACCAAAUCUUCUUUUUAAUGCCAUAUGAUUAGAAGUUA